This 691-nucleotide long non-coding RNA is filed under the name Sorghum bicolor (sorghum). RNAcentral's name for it is "long non-coding RNA (SBIC_LNC009437)". The record is from RNAcentral. Lineage: Eukaryota; Viridiplantae; Streptophyta; Magnoliopsida; Poales; Poaceae.
AGGCCACCAAUCACAGGCGGUUCGCCAAACCGCCUGUAAAAAAAGGUUUAGAACCGCCUGUAUAGUACCUCUAUGUACUAGUGUUUUAGAAAACAAGCUUAUCUUACUAUUAUUAAUUAGAGGCCCCAACAGAGGCACUAUAUUAGUUCUCACUAGAUGCUUACUGUUACUAAUUAGAUGCCCCAAUGGAGGCACCACAUUAGUUCUCACUAGAUGCACAAGGAAAAAAAGAUAAAAUCCUAUAAUUUUCACAAUAAUCACAAACAACUAGCCUUUGAUUUCUAAACUCUAUUUUUCACCGAUAAUAGCCAUUAGAUCUAUUAUAGUUUAUUCAAAAAUUACCCACCACGGCCAUUAUGAAUAAUACAUAAAACAACGCCCUAAUUUUGCAUCUAAAUUACCCAGCUGUGCCGCCACUACAAACGAUAAUUCAAAAUAAUCCCCUAUUUUUAUAUAAAUUACCCACAUCUGUCAUAAAAAAAAUUAAAAACAAUCCUCUAAAUUUGCAUCUAAAUUACCCACCUCUUCUGUUAUAAAGAUAAUUUAAAUUAACCCCCUUACAUUGCGUCUGAACUACGGAGCUUUGUUAUUCAAAGACAAUUUAAAACAAUCCUCAAACUGCAUAUCUAAAUUAUCCACAUCUAACAUCAUGAAAUAUGAUUUAAAAUACCUCUUAAUGGUUUUAUAAAUU